This 492-nucleotide ribosomal RNA is filed under the name uncultured bacterium. Its description in RNAcentral is "partial 16S ribosomal RNA". It matches the Rfam family "Bacterial small subunit ribosomal RNA", at positions 29 to 507 of the family's 1533-position model. The record is from RNAcentral.
AGUGAACGCUGGCGGUAGGCCUAACACAUGCAAGUCGAACGGCAGCACAGUAAGAGCUUGCUCUUACGGGUGGCGAGUGGCGGACGGGUGAGGAAUACAUCGGAAUCUACUUUUUCGUGGGGGAUAACGUAGGGAAACUUACGCUAAUACCGCAUACGACCUACGGGUGAAAGCAGGGGAUCUUCGGACCUUGCGCGAUUGAAUGAGCCGAUGUCGGAUUAGCUAGUUGGCGGGGUAAAGGCCCACCAAGGCGACGAUCCGUAGCUGGUCUGAGAGGAUGAUUAGCCACACUGGAACUGAGACACGGUCCAGACUCCUACGGGAGGCAGCAGUGGGGAAUAUUGGACAAUGGGCGAAAGCCUGAUCCAGCCAUACCGCGUGGGUGAAGAAGGCCUUCGGGUUGUAAAGCCCUUUUGUUGGGAAAGAAAAGCAGCAGGUUAAUACCCCGCUGUUCUGACGGUACCCAAAGAAUAAGCACCGGCUAACUUCGUG